GUUAUGGUAGUUUAAUAAAACAUUAGUCUGUGACACUAAAAAUGAAAAACAUUUCCCAUAAC
RNAcentral lists this transfer RNA (62 nucleotides) under Brookesia ebenaui. RNAcentral describes it as "tRNA-His". It matches the Rfam family "tRNA". Rfam says of the family: Transfer RNA (tRNA) molecules are approximately 80 nucleotides in length. Lineage: Eukaryota; Metazoa; Chordata; Lepidosauria; Squamata; Chamaeleonidae. The record is from RNAcentral.